Molecule: non-coding RNA, 402 nt
Organism: Candoia aspera
Lineage: Eukaryota; Metazoa; Chordata; Lepidosauria; Squamata; Candoiidae
Source: the annotation of a RefSeq genome assembly
CAGAAAGCUCCAUUCUCCAUCAUGGCGUGGACUCUGCUCUUGGCCUUCUUCUUCACAUGGAGCACAGGGGCCCAUUCACAGUACACCUUGACUCAACCUGCUACCCAAUCAUCUCCCCUGGGACAAUCAGCAAAGAUCUCAUGCACCAUGAGCCAGGACAGCCAGGUGGGCAGUUAUUACAUAGCUUGGUACCAACAACACCCUGGAAAGAGCCCCAAAUACCUUCUCUAUGAUGACAACAGCAAUGGCCGGUUCACGGGGUCCAUUGAUGCCUCUGCCAAUGCAGCCUACUUAACCAUUUCCAGCCUCCAGGCUGAUGAUGAGGCAGAUUAUUAUUGUGGUGGUGGUUACAGCAGUGGCAGCAACUGGAGGUAUCCACAGUGAUACAGUCCCUUGCAGAAG